GAUGAACGCUGGCGGCGUGCCUAAUACAUGCAAGUCGAGCGAACGGACGAGAAGCUUGCUUCUCUGAUGUUAGCGUCGGACGGGUGAGUAACACGUGUAUAACCUACCUAUUAUACUUGGAUAACUUCGGGAAACCGUAUCUAAUACCGGAUAAUAUUUUUUACCUCAUGGUUCAAAAGUGAUAGACGGUCUUUCUGUCUCUUAUAGAUGUAUCCGCGCUGCAUUAGCUAGUUGGUAAGGUAACGGCUUACCAAGGCAACGAUGCAUAGCAGACCUGAGAGGGUGAAAGGACAAAAGGGAACGGAGAAACGGUCAAGACGACUACGGGAGGAAGCAGUAGGGAAUGUUCCGAAAUGGGCGAAAGAAUGACGGAGCAAAGAAGAGUGAGAGAUGAAGGUCUUCGGAUCGUAAAACACUGUUAUUAGGGAAGAAAAUAUGUGUAAGUAAAUGUGCACAUAGUGACGGUAACUAAUCAGAAAGCAACGGCUAACUACGUG
This 497-nucleotide ribosomal RNA is filed under the name uncultured bacterium. Its description in RNAcentral is "partial 16S ribosomal RNA". It matches the Rfam family "Bacterial small subunit ribosomal RNA", at positions 28 to 507 of the family's 1533-position model. The record is from RNAcentral.